This 542-nucleotide ribosomal RNA is filed under the name uncultured bacterium. Its description in RNAcentral is "partial 16S ribosomal RNA". It matches the Rfam family "Bacterial small subunit ribosomal RNA", at positions 355 to 888 of the family's 1533-position model. The record is from RNAcentral.
UGGGGAAUUUUGGACAAUGGGCGAAAGCCUGAUCCAGCAAUGCCGCGUGUGUGAAGAAGGCCUUCGGGUUGUAAAGCACUUUUGUCCGGAAAGAAAUCCUUGGCUCUAAUACAGUCGGGGGAUGACGGUACCGGAAGAAUAAGCACCGGCUAACUACGUGCCAGCAGCCGCGGUAAUACGUAGGGUGCAAGCGUUAAUCGGAGUUACUGGGCGUAAAGCGUGCGCAGGCGGUUUGCUAAGACCGAUGUGAAAUCCCCGGGCUCAACCUGGGAACUGCAUUGGUGACUGGCAGGCUAGAGUAUGGCAGAGGGGGGUAGAAUUCCACGUGUAGCAGUGAAAUGCUAGAGAUGUGGAGGAAUACCGAUGGCGAAGGCAGCCCCCUGGGCCAAAUACUGACGCUCAUGCACGAAAGCGUGGGGGAGCAAAACAGGAUUAGAUACCCUGGUAGUCCACGCCCUAAACGAUGUCAACUAGUUGUUGGGGAUUCAUUUCCUUAGUAACGUACUAACGCGUGAAGUUGACCGCCUGGGGGAGUACGGUCG